AUGCCUAGCUGGUGAAGCGUAGGAGCUCUAGGAGAGCAAAGCUGUAGCCAUGCAGAUGGGGUUGGAGCAUUGCCUGUGGUAUGGAGGUCACUUGGCGUUCAGUCGCCAGAUGCCCCGUGCAAUAUGGGCUGUCCUGUACUUACUGCUCAGACCGCAAGCCGCAUUUGAAGGGAUGACAAGCCAUGGCUUUCUUGCACUUUGCUGCAACAUAUUAAAUCCCACAUGUGUAAUGCAAUUCUCCCAUGCCACAGCACACCCAAGGCAUUGGGCUUGAAGACACUGCACGAAAGAAAAUGUAUGUCUCUAGGUCUGCUCAACAUUUACUGUCUGACAGCCCUGUUUAACUCACCUCCAGCAGGAUCUGCUUCAAGCUGCUUAUCAAAAGCUGUGUUUCCCAUGUGGGGACUUGCCUCUCAGUUAGUUUUUCAACUGAGUUUCUUUUCAAAAGAACAAAAAAAAGAAGGGACAGAAGACAAGCAACUUGCCCUCUGAGGAGCUGGGUGGGGAAGGUGUUGGUGGAGCAUCCUCAGUGUCAUGUAAGAAGAGAGAGCCACUGCUGGACAACUUGUUCUAGAGACAGGAAGCUGCAUCUGAAUGUGAUGGAAGAUGUUCACGACUGUCUUGGCAAAGGGAUGUCAGGCUUCAUACAGCUGUUUCCUCAACUGACUCAGGAAGAAAGAUUCUCACUCCUUAUAGGCUUCUACUUCUUGGUGCUGGUAGUUGCAAUUCCAAGACGUGAAGACUUUUGCCACAGGCUCUCUGGAAGAGCUGCUGUUAAAACCUCUGCAUGUUGGCAGGUAGAUCACAGGGUUAUCUCAGUGGCCUGCAGUAAUGCUCCUGGGGACAGACACCAUCCCUUGCCUUCAGUGCUAGAUGUUGUUCCAUUCAUCCAGUGGUGUUUCUCUUACCCUGUUUUCAAGAGGGACAAAAUAUGGCAUUAAUGAGGAUAUACUAGUAUGAAAACUACAGAGUCCCAAAGAGAAUAAACUGUCCAGAAUCUUGCACCAGAAAUGGAGACAAAGGGUAGCUGAAAUUCUGGAAGUUGCCCACUUUGCCUUAGAGAUCAUUGCCAGCAGCCUACAUCUGUACACCACAUGAGCAAGUGAGAAAGUAUCUUUGAGAAGGGUGUAAUGUUGGUCCUGUGUCAAUAAUGGAUCUAGUCCAAGGUACUGAAGCAUCUGCUCUAUAUUUCAGUAUUUCAUUUCCUACUCUUGUAAGGAUGUUCAAGUAAGUGAGCAUCCACACCUAAAAGACUGCAUUUGAAAGAGCAGCUAAGAUGUGGUCACCACCAGCCAAAAUACUCGCUAUGCUAGCCUGUAGUUUGGACUCUCCUCCAGGUAAUGUGUCAGUCUCAGAAUCAAAUGAUCACCACAUGUAGGUCUAUAAAGCUCCUAAAUCAGCUGUGUAGAGAGGCACUCUGCAAUGGUUAUUGCUGGAUGGUUAAGUGCCAGUGCAGGUGAAUUAAAUUAUUAUUGGUUCCAA
Long non-coding RNA from Neopsephotus bourkii (Bourke's parrot), 1482 nucleotides. RefSeq lists it as uncharacterized. The record is from RefSeq and is a predicted model, not a curated record. Lineage: Eukaryota; Metazoa; Chordata; Aves; Psittaciformes; Psittacidae. The transcript has 2 exons.